AACCACUGGGAAGCGUUCACGCGCUUGUCCAAAGAACAGUAGGGCCGAGUUCCAAACGCUGUCACAGUGACUUGCUGCGACCGCGGUGUGAGUGGGCGCUAAAAUGCCAAUGAUGGAAUGUGCACUGUGCAAAUUAUAGACUUGUUCCUUUACUUAGGUUUUGCGACAGGUCAGCACUGAACCGGCUCUUAAAGACCCUGGUAGACAGAAGCCUGGCUCUGUCUACAGUGAAAGCUUACGCUGCUGCCAUUUCAUCCUGCCAUGGGGGUUUUGGUGAGACAUCUGUGUUCGCGCACCCACUGGUUAAACGCUUCCUGAGAGGAGUGGGCAGACAGCGGCCGGUUCAGUGACACAACAGUGAGAUCUGCCUCUGGUUUAACGCGUGGUCGGGGGAACCCCCCCCCUCUUCAAGCCCAUAGCACAGACGUCUCUCAAACACCUUUCACUGAAGUUUGUUGUAAUGUACAUACUGUAGCUUGCAGGUAUAAAGGUGCAGUGACUGGAAUAUU
Monopterus albus (swamp eel) is the source of this 509-nucleotide long non-coding RNA. RefSeq lists it as uncharacterized. The transcript has 2 exons. Lineage: Eukaryota; Metazoa; Chordata; Actinopteri; Synbranchiformes; Synbranchidae. The record is from RefSeq and is a predicted model, not a curated record.